GGCCGGUUAGCUCAGUUGGUUAGAGCGUGGUGCUAAUAACGCCAAGGUCGCGGGUUCGCUACCCGUACUGGCCA
This 74-nucleotide transfer RNA is filed under the name Gadus morhua (Atlantic cod). Its description in RNAcentral is "tRNA-Ile (AAT) (tRNA-Ile-AAT-6-1)". It matches the Rfam family "tRNA". Rfam says of the family: Transfer RNA (tRNA) molecules are approximately 80 nucleotides in length. Their secondary structure includes four short double-helical elements and three loops (D, anti-codon, and T loops). Lineage: Eukaryota; Metazoa; Chordata; Actinopteri; Gadiformes; Gadidae. The record is from RNAcentral.